RNAcentral lists this ribosomal RNA (481 nucleotides) under uncultured bacterium. RNAcentral's name for it is "bacterial SSU rRNA". It matches the Rfam family "Bacterial small subunit ribosomal RNA", at positions 8 to 526 of the family's 1533-position model. The record is from RNAcentral.
AGAGUUUGAUCAUGGCUCAGGAUGAACGCUGGCGGCGUGCUUAACACAUGCAAGUCGAACGGGCUGGUUUAGGCCAGCUAGUGGCAAACGGGUGCGUAACACGUAGGUGAUCUACCCCACAGGGGGGGACAACUGUUGGAAACGACAGCUAAUACCCCAUACACUGGCAACAGCAAAGACGUAAGUCGCUGUGGGAGGAGCCUGCGGCCUAUCAGGUAGUUGGUGAGGUAACGGCUCACCAAGCCGACGACGGGUAGGGGGCGUGAGAGCGUGGCCCCCCACACGGGGACUGAGACACGGCCCCGACUCCUACGGGAGGCAGCAGUGAGGGAUAUUGGGCAAUGGGGGCAACCCUGACCCAGCGACGCCGCGUGGAGGACGAAGGGCUUCGGCCUGUAAACUCCUUUUCCCAGGGACGAGACAAGGACGGUACCUGGGGAAUAAGUCUCGGCUAACUACGUGCCAGCAGCCGCGGUAAUAC